UGGAGAUUCACAAUGCAUGAUAUGGAAGUUACCUGGCAAGCGAAGCGAGGAUUUUUGAACCUGCUGGUGAGGUGAUGGUGCAUCUAUGAAAACCAAGAUGUAGCUGUCAAGUGUUAUCUAUAAGGAAAGGACAUUCCAUCCAAGGGUUGGUAUGAACUGCAAGAAGUUACAGAAUGUUUGGACAUGGACUGAUAAGAGGAGAAAUGUAGAGAACUCAUCAAUCAAGGAAACUUCUGUCUGAAGGCCAAAGGGUGGUGGACGUUAGAAGUGGAGAAGCAGAAAGCCUUAAAAGAGAAACCUUUCCAAACCAGAGAUAUGCUCCUGAAUCUGCAGCAACAGGACUCCCACGGUCUUCAUGAAGGGCGACUGAUCAACGACUUCAGUGAAGUGCCACUGUGUGUAUGAAACCUCACAUGAGGGUUGGCCAGAAAGCAUGAGGCCUGGAUCUGACAUCCACCAACCCGCCGCCAUGGCGGGCCCCCGCACCUCCCCACGCCCGGUGCAGCGAGGGCCCACCAGCACCACCACCACCACCACCCCCAGCAACAGGACCAGCCUGAUUCUGAAGAUGGAGGAAUGUGAAUAAGAAGCAAAACAACCCUGAGGCUUGAGCUGCACAGAGGCCACCAUGUUAUGGGAAGAAUACACUUGGCAGGGCAGACUGGAUGCCUAAACUCAAUAUCUGGGCUGGUGUCAGAAACCAGUAUCCUUAAGCUGGAGCCCAUGACCCAGUGCUCAAAAAGAAAACUCCACCAUUGCCCCUCAUGCAUUUUUAAAUUGCCAGUUAUAACUGUUUGUU
This is a long non-coding RNA of Sceloporus undulatus (fence lizard), 799 nucleotides long. RefSeq lists it as uncharacterized. The transcript is spliced from 3 exons. The record is from RefSeq and is a predicted model, not a curated record. Lineage: Eukaryota; Metazoa; Chordata; Lepidosauria; Squamata; Phrynosomatidae.